CGCUAGAGCCCCCCCAAGGCGGCCAUCUUGAUUAAGGGCAGAGGGCACCGGUAUCCCGCUGGGAGACUUUGGGAAGUGACAAGGGCUUGCCUCUCCUGCCUCAAUCUCCGCAUCUGGAUGAAGGGCUUGGACCAGAACCCCUCCAAGCCCCUUCCCUGGACCACUCUGUGGGAGAAGCCGGCAGGGGCUUCGGGAUUGGACAGAGCGUGAAGGGAGCACCGCCAGGGCACCGGCCCACAUUAAAUGUCUUCAUCCGAGCAUUCAGCAAGGGUUUAUUGAGCACCUGCUAUGCCCCAGGCCCUGUUCUAGCUUCUGUGGACACAGCCGUGCGCGACACAAGAUUCCCACCUGGGGAGCCACAGUGGGAGAAGGUCAUGGAAAAGAGAAUGUACGGGACUGGGGGAUGUCAGAUGUUAUCCAAGGUGUCAAGAAACGAAACAGAAGGGAAAGGGG
This 453-nucleotide long non-coding RNA is filed under the name Homo sapiens (human). RNAcentral's name for it is "HSALNT0395508". The record is from RNAcentral. Lineage: Eukaryota; Metazoa; Chordata; Mammalia; Primates; Hominidae.